RNAcentral lists this ribosomal RNA (465 nucleotides) under uncultured bacterium. RNAcentral describes it as "partial 16S ribosomal RNA". It matches the Rfam family "Bacterial small subunit ribosomal RNA", at positions 28 to 507 of the family's 1533-position model. The record is from RNAcentral.
GACGAACGCUGGCGGCGUGCUUAACACAUGCAAGUCGUACGGUAAGGCCCUUUCGGGGGUACACGAGUGGCGAACGGGUGAGUAACACGUGAGUAACCUGCCCACAACUUUGGGAUAACGCUAGGAAACUGGUGCUAAUACUGGAUAUGUGCUCCUGCUGCAUGGUGGGGGUUGGAAAGCUCCGGCGGUUGUGGAUGGACUCGCGGCCUAUCAGCUUGUUGGUGGGGUAGUGGCCUACCAAGGCGGCGACGGGUAGCCGGCCUGAGAGGGUGACCGGCCACAUUGGGACUGAGAUACGGCCCAGACUCCUACGGGAGGCAGCAGUGGGGAAUAUUGCACAAUGGGCGCAAGCCUGAUGCAGCAACGCCGCGUGCGGGAUGACGGCCUUCGGGUUGUAAACCGCUUUCAGCAGGGACGAAGCUUAUUGUGACGGUACCUGCAGAAGAAGCACCGGCUAACUACGUG